CAGUAGCCACGGGAAUACGGAGGGCGCGAGCGUUACCCGGAUUUACUGGGCGUAAAGGGCGUGUAGGCGGCCUGGGGCGUCCCAUGUGAAAGGCCACGGCUCAACCGUGGAGGAGCGUGGGAUACGCUCAGGCUAGAGGGUGGGAGAGGGUGGUGGAAUUCCCGGAGUAGCGGUGAAAUGCGCAGAUACCGGGAGGAACGCCGAUGGCGAAGGCAGCCACCUGGUCCACUUCUGACGCUGAGGCGCGAAAGCGUGGGGAGCAAACCGGAUUAGAUACCCCCGUAGUCCCUGUCUCUUAUAA
RNAcentral lists this ribosomal RNA (301 nucleotides) under uncultured bacterium. RNAcentral describes it as "partial 16S ribosomal RNA". It matches the Rfam family "Bacterial small subunit ribosomal RNA", at positions 509 to 809 of the family's 1533-position model. The record is from RNAcentral.